UGAAUCAUCAAAUCUUUGAACGCAAAUUGCACUCUCUUCGGAGAGUAUGCCUGUUUGAGGGUCAGCCUAAAAAAAAAAAUCGACAUAGUCGCUGUUUCGAGGUGACAUUUGUCGGAAAUUUUGUAAUCUUAAAUUUUUGGGUAUUAAGGGGUUUAAAAUUUUUUUUUCGGUUGCACGAGAGUUUUUAAGUUUUACUUUUUUUAUUUUUAUGGUAUCGAUAUUUAUUAGACGGGGCGGUG
RNAcentral lists this unclassified non-coding RNA (239 nucleotides) under Glomeraceae sp. RNAcentral's name for it is "partial contains 5.8S ribosomal RNA and internal transcribed spacer 2". The stretch from base 1 to 64 matches the Rfam family "5.8S ribosomal RNA", at positions 85 to 154 of the family's 154-position model. The record is from RNAcentral. Lineage: Eukaryota; Fungi; Glomeromycota; Glomeromycetes; Glomerales; Glomeraceae.